GAACUGCGAUAAGUAAUGUGAAUUGCAGAAUUCAGUGAAUCAUCGAGUCUUUGAACGCACAUUGCGCCCCCUGGCAUUCCGGGGGGCAUGCCUGUCCGAGCGUCAUUGCUGCCCUUCAAGCCCGGCUUGUGUGUUGGGUCGUCGUCCCCUCCGGGGGACGGGCCCGAAAGGCAGCGGCGGCAUCGCGUCCGGUCCUCGAGCGUAUGGGGCUUUGUCACCCGCUCGAUAAGGACCGGCCGGGCGCCAGCCGGCGUCUCCAACCUUUUUUUCUCAGGUUGACCUCGGAUCAGGUAGGGAUACCCGCUGAACUUAAGC
RNAcentral lists this unclassified non-coding RNA (315 nucleotides) under plant metagenome. RNAcentral describes it as "partial contains 5.8S ribosomal RNA, internal transcribed spacer 2, and large subunit ribosomal RNA". The stretch from base 1 to 105 matches the Rfam family "5.8S ribosomal RNA", at positions 50 to 154 of the family's 154-position model. The record is from RNAcentral.